Molecule: ribosomal RNA, 105 nt
Filed under: Carlito syrichta (Philippine tarsier)
Lineage: Eukaryota; Metazoa; Chordata; Mammalia; Primates; Tarsiidae
Source: RNAcentral
AUCUGCAGCUGUACCACCCUGAACACGCCUGAUCUCGGAAGCUAAGCAGAGUCCGGCCUGGUCAGCGCUUGGAUGGGAGAACUGGGAGUGGGGGUGGGGCAAAAC